GCAUUUUCCUACUGACCACGAAGGCUUUCGAAUCACACAAACAACUUCUGAUUAAUUUGCUGAAGAAAACAGAAUAGCAACCCGUCUGACGCAGUGCUCCCCGUCCUCCGUCUCCUGACACUGGCCAUGCAAACACUGCAGACCCUGGCACAAACCCGCCGGCUCCUCCUGCAGGUUACACAACGCACCGCGGUAUCCCUCCGCACAGUCGCAGCGGUACGUCCGUGCGUCCAACGCCACACACUCACCCUUCACACACCUGGAUUAACGGACGCAGUGAGGAAGAGGGAAAGAGCCUCAACAUGAAGGACGAAUCCACAGAAACCCAACAUUUAAGAGAACACAUAUUUGUCUUAUUAACACUUUCAAAUUAGAGCCCGACUGAUAUAUCGGCGGGCUGAUAUUAGGCAUUUUCCAAACUAUCGGUAUUGGCAUUUAUAAUGGCCGAUAAAU
This is a long non-coding RNA of Sander lucioperca (pikeperch), 453 nucleotides long. RefSeq lists it as uncharacterized. The transcript has 2 exons. The record is from RefSeq and is a predicted model, not a curated record. NCBI's taxonomy places the organism in Eukaryota, Metazoa, Chordata, Actinopteri, Perciformes, Percidae.